GAAAGAGGAGGGAAGCGGCAGCCGGAAUUAUUGGGCGUAAAGCGUCCGUAGGUGGUUUGGCAAGUCUGGGGUUAAAGCCCGGAGCCUAACUCCGGAUCGGCCCUGGAAACUGCCAGACUAGAGUAAGGUAGGGGUUGCGGGAAUUCCAUGUGUAGCGGUGAAAUGCGUAGAUAUCGGGAAGAACACCAGUGGCGAAAGCGCGCAACUGGGCCAUUACUGACACUGAGGGACGAAAGCUAGGGGAGCGAAUGGG
This 253-nucleotide ribosomal RNA is filed under the name uncultured bacterium. Its description in RNAcentral is "partial 16S ribosomal RNA". It matches the Rfam family "Bacterial small subunit ribosomal RNA", at positions 524 to 776 of the family's 1533-position model. The record is from RNAcentral.